Molecule: ribosomal RNA, 439 nt
Filed under: uncultured bacterium
Lineage: Bacteria
Description: bacterial SSU rRNA
Rfam family: Bacterial small subunit ribosomal RNA
Source: RNAcentral
CCUACGGGAGGCAGCAGUGGGGAAUAUUGCACAAUGGGGGAAACCCUGAUGCAGCAACGCCGCGUGAGCGAUGAAGGCCUUCGGGUCGUAAAGCUCUGUCCUAAGGGAAGAUAAUGACGGUACCUUAGGAGGAAGCCCCGGCUAACUACGUGCCAGCAGCCGCGGUAAUACGUAGGGGGCAAGCGUUAUCCGGAAUAACUGGGCGUAAAGGGUGCGUAGGCGGCCCUGCAAGUCAGAAGUGAAAGGCUACGGCUCAACCGUAGUAAGCUUUUGAAACUGUAGGGCUUGAGUGCAGGAGAGGAGAGUAGAAUUCCUAGUGUAGCGGUGAAAUGCGUAGAUAUUAGGAGGAAUACCAGUUGCGAAGGCGGCUCUCUGGACUGUAACUGACGCUGAGGCACGAAAGCGUGGGGAGCGAACAGGAUUAGAUACCCGGGUAGUC